UGGGCACAUCACCUUGUGUCACCCCUCGGGGCUUCAGCAGCUCCAGUGCUGCUCCUCUGCACAUCCCUGCAGCCCCUGCCCAUGGGUGAGACGCCUGCCUUCCCCACAGCGCUGCUGGCAGCACGGGGCUAAUCCCCCAGAGCCCUGAGCCGAUCGGGGUGGCUGGGGGGGCAGUGGCGAGCUGCAGUGGCCAGGGGAGCUCUCCGUGCCAGGGUGGCUGCCCAAGGAGGCAGUGCUGAGCCCGCGGGGGACCUGGAGACAGAAGGACACCAAGGACCUUCUUGGGCUGCCCAGGAGCCAGCCCAGUGAGCAGCUGGUGUUUCCUGGGCACUGUGCACCCCGUGCUGGGCUCUGCCAGCUGAAGAGCCCGGGCAGUGCCCGCAGCCAGCGGGAUGAUGGGCUGGAUUGACCGGGUGGUGCCCCAGCCCCCGGUGCCCCACGUGGCGGAGGAGAGCCCUGUGCAGCCAGCCAAGGCACCGACAGCAAAGGCUGCUGGCCCCACAGAUGCUGCUGAACGGGCACGCACGGAGGAAACAGAAAAGAAAGUGACCUUUGUGGCUUCUGAGGACUCGAGUUCUGUGUUUGACAGUGUGGGGAGCAGUGUCCUCUCCUGGCUCUCCCAUGGGCUGGAGAAGGUGAUUCCCCAGCCAGCCCCAGCCCCAGGGCUGCAGGCACUCGGGAAGAGCUUCGAGACAAGCAUCGACGUUGCUGAUGAGACAGAGGUCCAGGUCAUUGGGGAUGAGGACGACGAUGGUCUGGAGAUAACUCCCUUCGAUGCCGAGGACGACGCGUCCGAGGGGGAGCUGGAGAGCGCCCCGGAGCAGUGGGCAGGACAGCGGGUUCUCAGCUGGCUCUCACAGGGCUUCGAGAGGAUUCUGCCGCAGCCAGAGGGCAUGAAAAAGACGGAGACAGAGCCGAAGGAGAAGAGCGAAGGCGCGGUGGAAGGCACAGAAGGGACUAAAACCCAGGUGAAGUCGAAGCCCAGCGCUGCAGGCGUUCCGAGUGCCCCGGCGGCAGCGAAGGCAGCGGCGGCCCAGGCCCAGCCGGAGCCAGGGGCUGCCCUGAGCCCUCAGCCCGUGGCUAUGGAUGGCACCAGGAUGUUCAGCUGGUUUGUCCAGGGGCUGGAGAAGGUGAUGCCACAGCCGGUGACCAGGGAGAAGCAGGACACACAGGGAGUGGCCACCGCAACCUCGAGUCCUGUGGAACAAAGUCAUGCAGCCCCUGGGGAGCAGGAGGAAACCCAUCUCACCAUGGAAGAGAUGGAGGAUGGCCAGAUGAAUGAAGAGAUGACAGCCUGGGCUCAUCAGGCUGAGCUGCAGGCAGAUGCUCAUUCCCUUCCCACCAUACAGGAGGAGCCUCAGGAAGAAGAGACCAGAACCUGUUUGUGCUCCCCAAACACUGCCAAGGGGGAUGAGGAAAAGGAGGAGGAGGAGAAGAAAGAGGAGGAGGAAGAGAGGAAGAAAGAGGAAGAGGAAAGGAAGAAAGAAGAAGAGGA
This 1495-nucleotide long non-coding RNA is filed under the name Junco hyemalis (dark-eyed junco). Its description in RNAcentral is "lncRNA (ENSJHYG00000003140.1)". The record is from RNAcentral. Lineage: Eukaryota; Metazoa; Chordata; Aves; Passeriformes; Passerellidae.